This is a non-coding RNA of Carica papaya (papaya), 1103 nucleotides long. The record is from RefSeq and is a predicted model, not a curated record. Lineage: Eukaryota; Viridiplantae; Streptophyta; Magnoliopsida; Brassicales; Caricaceae.
CAUAGUCUCUACUGUUAACUCACCGUUUUACAAGCCCAUGGUCUUUAGCUCUAAACGCACCGAUUUUGAUCUUCUUUAUCGCUUGAAAGAAGACUGCAAUCGUACAGUAUAAGCUGCAGUAGACUGCUGUCGUACAAAGGCAGAGAAGGAGGAGCGCACCACCUGUAAGAAGACAGGGAGCGGGGGAAGAGAGAGGCUUUUGAUUCGGUUUGGUGAAAGAGAAGAAGACAGGAGCAAAAUCAAGUGCUACGCGAACCGAGCGGCUGUGACAACACCUGUGACGAGGGAAGAAGGCGUCGCGGGUGUGAGGGAAUCAAAAGGAGGUAUAAUGCUGUGAUAGCUAGAGAAGAAGAGAGGCAGAGACGCGGCUAUAAGGAAUUCUUCUUCGGCUUUGUGAAGAAAAACUGAGAGAAGAGGAGAGAGAAGGAGAGGACAGAGGUGAUUUGGGAGAGGAGAGAGAGCUUUAGGGCUUCGAUUUUGGGAAGAGAAAGAAUGAACAGGAAAUAUUUAAAAAGGAGAUAUAUAUGUAAAGAGGAGGGUUUUUGAGGCUGAGAGAUAGAAAGAGUGGGGCGGCUAUAAAAAGAAGGGGAUAGAUUCUAGGGAGGUUCUUAGGGUUUUUGUUUUUGUUUUUUUUUUCAAGAGAAGGAGAAAGGGUCUCUCGACCUCUGAGCUUGUGUAGAAAGGAUGAUGAAGCUCAAAAAGAAACGUCUGUCUGUACUGUGAUUCUCACCUUGGAGUCUCAACUUCAAGUACUUUUGUUUGACAGAAUCCUCCUGAAGCAGUUGGACUUGGUUUCGGGGAAAGAUGAUUGACAAUGCUAGGAUGGAUUCAGGGGGAGAAUUUCACUCAAGAAUAUCAGUUGUGGGAUAUAAGCCCUUUGCUACCUCAAAUUCCGUUGACAUAUUCUCAGAAUAUUCAUAUCUAGGAAAUCACAGAAAAACCAGAACCCACCACAGAUACUAAUGAUAUAGAUACUGAUGGCACAUUAUCUGCAAAAAGUAAGCUACGAGUAUACACAAGGAGAAAUAAGACUCAAGAUAGUAGAAUUCUUGAAUCAAGCACGUAAAGUCAUGAGUCAACUCUUGGACCGAACACUCAUAAUA